CCUACGGGAGGCUGCAGUAGGGAAUAUUGCUCAAUGGCGGAGACCCUGAAGCAGCAACGCCACGUGGAGGAUGACGGUUUUCGGAUUGUAAACUCCUUUUGUUAGAGAAGAUAAUGACGGUAUCUAACGAAUAAGCACCGGCUAAAUCCGUGCCAGCAGCCGCGGUAAUACGGAGGGUGCAAGCGUUACUCGGAAUCACUGGGCGUAAAGGGCGCGUAGGCGGGAUAGAAAGUCAGAUGUGAAAUCCUAUGGGUUAACCAUAGAACUGCAUUUGAAACUGUUAUUCUAGAGUAUGGGAGAGGUAGGUGGAAUGCGUGGUGUAGGGGUAAAAUCCAUAGAGAUCAAGAAGAAUACUCAUUGCGAAGGCGACCUGCUAGAGCAUAACUGACGCUGAUGCGCGAAAGCGUGGGGAGCAAACAGGAUUAGAUACCCGGGUAGUC
Molecule: ribosomal RNA, 440 nt
Filed under: uncultured bacterium
Lineage: Bacteria
Description: partial 16S ribosomal RNA
Rfam family: Bacterial small subunit ribosomal RNA
Source: RNAcentral